GAUGAAGAACGCAGUGAAAUGCGAUAAGUAAUGUGAAUUGCAGAAUUCAGUGAAUCAUCGAAUCUUUGAACGCACAUUGUGCCCCCUGGUAUUCCGGGGGGCAUGCCUGUCCGAGCGUCAUUACAACCCUCAAGCUCAGCUUGGUAUUGGGCCCCGCCGCUCCGGCGGGCCCUAAAGUCAGUGGCGGUGCCGUCCGGCUCCGAGCGUAGUAAUUCUUCUCGCUCUGGAGGUCCGGUCGUGUGCUCGCCAGCAACCCCCAAUUUUUUUCAGGUUGACCUCGGAUCAGGUAGGGAUACCCGCUGAACUUAAGCAUAUCAAUAAGCGGAGGA
This 329-nucleotide unclassified non-coding RNA is filed under the name soil metagenome. RNAcentral describes it as "partial contains 5.8S ribosomal RNA, internal transcribed spacer 2, and large subunit ribosomal RNA". The stretch from base 1 to 120 matches the Rfam family "5.8S ribosomal RNA", at positions 35 to 154 of the family's 154-position model. The record is from RNAcentral.